Molecule: long non-coding RNA, 663 nt
Organism: Prinia subflava (tawny-flanked prinia)
Lineage: Eukaryota; Metazoa; Chordata; Aves; Passeriformes; Cisticolidae
Exons: 3
Source: RefSeq, a predicted model, not a curated record
GCCCCGGCCCCCACCGCCCCCGGCCUGUCCGAGCCCCAGCGCAAGGGCCUGUGUUGGUGUACGCUCCUGCGCUGCUGAGGCGUGGGGCAGAGUUAAUUUUCUUCCCAGUAGCUAUGCUUUGGAGUUAUGCUGAACGCAGGGUUGAUAAUAGAGAGAUGUUGUUGUUGUUGUUGCUGGGCAGGACUUACACAGAGCCAAGGCGUUUUCUGCUCUCUGUACUGCUGAGCUGGUGAUGGUGGCAAUGACUACAAUUGCAAGGUAAUUCUGGAAGAAUCACAGGCAUCAGAGGACACAGACCUGCUGGGGUAAUGAGCUCAAGCCUUCUGAAGGUGACUACUGAGUAGACAUUACCAAUGCCAUCAUGCCAGUUGCCAUCAACAGUCAUCUUGACCUCUGAUGCCUCUGGAGAGACCUGAACUCUAUCAAAGGUCCCUGUGUGAGAUCUGCUUAGGUGGCAAGGGAUGACUGCACAGCCCUUACCUCAGUGCUUGUCCAUGUGCUUUAACUCUAAAGGAAAUAAAAUAUGAGUGUCUUGGUUUCCCAAUUCCCACUUUUUGCCUUCAUCUUUGUAAGUAAGUUCAUCACUGUCAGCAUAGAGAGCAAGACAGAUUUGGUAGCCAGGUUCAAAGGACCAAUCCUUCCUUGAAGGAAAAAGGCCAAACU